Molecule: transfer RNA, 117 nt
Filed under: Betaproteobacteria bacterium
Lineage: Bacteria; Pseudomonadati; Pseudomonadota; Betaproteobacteria
Description: tRNA-Pro
Source: RNAcentral
CGGUGUGUCGCAACAAGAUAAGCUGUUGAUUAAUCUACCAACAUUCUGAUUACAUUGGUGGGUGUUGCUACAUUCGGGACGUAGAGGCCGGAGGUUCGAAUCCUCUCACCCCGACCA